CAUUAAAUUAAAAAGUUUAAAUGUAUUAUUUUUUAUUUCACAUAUUAAAGUUUUAGUUAUGAUACUCCUAAAAUCAUCCGCAUAAAUCUGCAGAUUUUUUACAAAACUCUCAGCUGAAACAGCAUAAAAUGUCCGCAGAUUCUGUAUGGCCCUACCUAUAGCAUGUCUUUGGACCUGUGGGGGAAACCGGAGCACCCAGAGGAAGCCCAUGCGAUUACGGGGAGAUCAUGCAAACUCCACACAGAAAUGCCAACUGACCCAGCCGAGGCUCGAACCAGUAACCUGUGAGGCAAGAAGUUACCCACUGCGCCACCGUGACGCCCGGUGAUGGGAAGACCGACCAAGAGAGUUUCCUUUUGCAGAUUUUCAACACCAGAUAAGGUCUUGUGUGAAAGCAACUUUCAGAGACAUGAAGUGAAGGAAAUUUACUCCCCUUGGUUUGUUUGUUUUGCCGGCCUGUGUGCCAGCGUAGUGAAGAAGAAGUGUGGCUUGUUUUGGUCCGAGUGGGCAGUGGUUGUUCGAAUGCCAUGCCAGACCGUUGCUCUGCUCGGAAGAAACGCCCACACACAUACUCACACACACACACAUGCUAACACAAACACACAUCGGAGGCCUUGGUGGUAUGUGGCAGAUGCCCAGAGCUUCAGCCCACUCCUGUGUGCCAAGAAGAAUCCCUCUGUUCAUGAAGCUGACCGUCACAACAGACUAAACAAGGAAAAAAAAAGUCUUUCUCUUGUGUAAAAGUAUGACAGACUUUCCCAUGGCACAGACUGUGAGGAAUUCUGAAUGAUGUAAGUUGCUUGCAAGAUCUGACCUGGUGGUAACUCUUGAAAUGAGUUGGAACAUACAAUGAAAUUCAUUGCACAUUACUUAACAUUUCUAUAGGACUACAUGAGUUUGUAAGGCUCCACCAUGUGGCGAAAAGACAGAAUUGUUGCCAAAUAUAAUAAACCUAUUCCCAGAAAUCUGUCUACAGAACCACAACAGCUGUAUGCAUUGGCUGUAAAGGUUAGAUUUAAAAAAAUAUUUUUUUAAAUGUUAAAAAACUAUAUACUCGCCCAGCUUAAUAAGACCAAAGCUGUGAUGCUGAGGAUUGUGGACACAUCCCUUUAACUGCCCCACCAAGAAAAACAUUUUUGGUUUGCAUUUCUUAACUCCUAAUGUCGCUAGUUAACACACUAAUUGCAUUUUUUUUUUCAACACAUCCUAUAAUUUCUAAAAUAUCAACCUCUACCAGAUGGUUGACAUGUCGGUUUAUGUUAAAAGUACUGGAAUUAAUACAUCUACUAUGAAAAAUAUAAAG
This is a long non-coding RNA of Danio aesculapii, 1303 nucleotides long. RefSeq lists it as uncharacterized. The record is from RefSeq and is a predicted model, not a curated record. The transcript has 3 exons. NCBI's taxonomy places the organism in Eukaryota, Metazoa, Chordata, Actinopteri, Cypriniformes, Danionidae.